This is a long non-coding RNA of Triticum aestivum (bread wheat), 1890 nucleotides long. RefSeq lists it as uncharacterized. The record is from RefSeq and is a predicted model, not a curated record. The transcript is spliced from 5 exons. Lineage: Eukaryota; Viridiplantae; Streptophyta; Magnoliopsida; Poales; Poaceae.
UAAUGUGGAGCAGUCGUCUUGUCACAACAGUAUGUGUGCGUGGUGAGACGGUGAGAGACACUCACUUUGCUUUCUCCGCCGCACGCCGCCGGCCGCCUUGUGUGGAGCAGGGCGCACGCCGCCGGCUGCCUUCUCUCGAGCAGGGCGCAUCCUCUCCCGCCACGACGUCUUCUGCCCCCCUCCCCCUCCCCGCACCACCACCACCACCACCACGGCCUCACCCCGUCUCCUAUCCCCACGACGGCCUCGCCUCGCCGGCUCUUAUCCCCACCACGGCCUCGCCCCGCCGCCUCCUCUCACCACCGCGGACUUGUCUCGCCGCCAACCCCGUGGAUCUUCCCUAGAUCGACUCUGCCGCCGCCAUCAUACUGCCGCAGAGCAGAUCGAGAUGCGAGAUGCUGGACACGAUGCGGGAGCAGGCAUCUUGAAUUGGACCGAGAUCCAGUGCGUCGACCUCACACAGUCUCUCCGGGAAGGAGUUCGCAGCUCGCGUAGGUGUUCGGUUGCUGAAGGCACCUUCACCACAUUGUCAUUCAUUUGUGAGAUGUUUCUGUUUCUCUAUGUUGGCAUGGAUGCAUUGGAUAUAGAGAUUUGGAAGAUUGUUAGCGGAACACAUAUACAGGCAACUGCGGGGACUACCAACAGGCGGCGUACCUGCUACGUGUUGGUGAUGAGCAAGCUAGCCAAGGGGCAGCAUAGUGAAUCGAUGAAGAAGCUGGAAUCCUAAUAGGAGGAAUAUUUUCAACUGGUUUGACGCAUGUUGGAGGAGGCUUGAAGUGGCGGUCGUAACACAGUCAGUUGGGAGGACCCAAUGCCAGAGUCAAAAUUGUUGACAUUUUCUUUGUUAGAAACGGCUGUAUCUGGUGUUCUUAAUGAAGCUGGACCAUGAAGUUGAGUUAGAUCACUCAUUAUCACAUCAACAGGUAUGCCUGCAUCAUAAUUGUAUGUACAAUAUCAGUUGUUGACACACAAACGCCGGUGGGUGACACACAAAUAUCAGUUGUAGGACAACACAUGACCUUCAGUGGCUGUUGUGUGCUGUUGGUGAGUGACAACAGACUGCACACUUGGCCUCUCCACAGUGUCUAAAUCUGUCAGAAAUAACACUUAAUCAACAUGAUUUUACUUGUCAUUCACGACAUGCAUGAUAAAGGACAGGUAAAAUGGAGUAACCAGGUGACAUGGCCCCGGAUGGCUUUGAUGGAGUGUUGGUUCCAGUUACAAUAGCGGUGGGGUGAUGACACCGGAGGUAGGGCAGCACGCCGGCUGGAGGCCGUCCACCGGGUGGAGGACGUCGCGGGCACCUGGGGCGAGGGCGGCAUCGCGAAGAUGCCGGGGUGAGGAGAGGCAGCAAGUUGGGUGGAGGAUGUCCAGCGGGUCGAGGACGUCGCGGAGACCAGGGGCGAGGACGGCGGGGCGGCUGGCCGAGCGAGGCGGGGCUGAUGGCCGAGGCGAGGUUCGUGGACUGAUGCUGGCGUUGAUCGUGGAGUUUUGUGGUAUGGUGGCUGCGUUGAUUGUGGAGGUAUGUUAAAUUCCCUGGAGGGGUCAUCGUUGGGCUCUGUAGCAUCCUGGACGGGAGAGUCUGCCGGCAGAACAUUUCUUUUGAACCGUAGAUCUGAUUGUAGUUUGCUGGAUGUAACAUGGACAGUUGGAUGUAACUAAGUGGGUUUGAUCGGACGUGGGGGGUUAUCCCGUGUGCACUUUCCGGUGUGGACGUAGGGAAAGUAAUGUUUGGUCUUUUAAUAGUAAGUAUAGAUAUAGACUAGUACAAAUGCCCGUGCGUUGCACCGGGCGAAAAAAGAGGCACAACCUGCUUCAUAUUUCAUUGUGCACCAUUUUAUAUAUCCAAUUUUAUUAAACAUCGAUAAUAAAGUAAAGCUGAUUAUUACU